AGGGUGCCUGAGAAACGGCUACCACAUCCAAGGAAG
Molecule: ribosomal RNA, 36 nt
Filed under: Pelobates cultripes (western spadefoot toad)
Lineage: Eukaryota; Metazoa; Chordata; Amphibia; Anura; Pelobatidae
Description: SSU_rRNA_eukarya
Source: RNAcentral